Molecule: long non-coding RNA, 174 nt
Organism: Corvus hawaiiensis (hawaiian crow)
Lineage: Eukaryota; Metazoa; Chordata; Aves; Passeriformes; Corvidae
Exons: 2
Source: RefSeq, a predicted model, not a curated record
UACAGGAGAGCAAGUGGGAAAAGUCACCUGUCAAAUCCUGAACCCUCUGCUGCAGGUGGAGAAGGAAACUACUGUGCUCCUCUCAGGUGCAUCUCAGUGGGUCUCUGCUUCCUGGAUACAACUCCCUUUAUUCCUUCUCACAUUGGCUGCUGGUGCUGUUCUUGUAUUUCAAGG